This 253-nucleotide ribosomal RNA is filed under the name uncultured bacterium. RNAcentral describes it as "partial 16S ribosomal RNA". It matches the Rfam family "Bacterial small subunit ribosomal RNA", at positions 524 to 776 of the family's 1533-position model. RNAcentral also lists the same sequence under 1 other name. The record is from RNAcentral.
UACAGAGGGGGCAAGCGUUGUUCGGAAUUACUGGGCGUAAAGGGCGCGUAGGCGGCCCGCUAAGUCGAACGUGAAAUCCCCGAGCUCAACUCGGGAACUGCGUCCGAUACUGGUGGGCUUGAAUCCGGGAGAGGGAUGCGGAAUUCCAGGUGUAGCGGUGAAAUGCGUAGAUAUCUGGAGGAACACCGGUGGCGAAGGCGGCAUCCUGGACCGGCAUUGACGCUGAGGCGCGAAAGCUAGGGGAGCAAACGGG